UUUAGCCUUGCUGUGCCUUAGCUCAUCGUACAGUUUCACUAACCAUCAACAUCCAUUCAGGUUAUAAAAACUUCUAUAUUUCUAGAAGCAUAGACUGUCCAUUGAUUCAACUUGUUGAAAAGAUUACUCUGGCAAGGAAACACAGGUAUUUUGGGAUCUCCACCAGUAGUGGUAAUGAAGCAGUGAGAAUAAGGCUGUUAAGCUUGGAACACUGAGAAACCCGCUUGUUUUGGAUGAGUUCCCCUCUUGGAGGACCAGCUCCAAAGCCUGCAAAGCAGGAACCACCUUCAGACAAACAGAGCUUCAUGACAUUAGAACCAUCAAGAGCAUUGAAAUUCAAGGACAGCAGAGUUUUAUGCAUGUGCUUCUCAUUGAGAACUAAGGCUUCCGUUUCAUGACACAGAGAUUCAAAGUACAUCAUCAUAUCAUUUAUGAACAGAGAAAAUUUAAGAUUUCUCCACUAUUUGUGGAAUUUUCAGCAGUCAUUAGUUCUAUUUGUUCUUGCCUACAAUAAAACUUAAAUGAUGUUGUUUUGCAAUCCUUUAAUAAAACGUUAAAUGACCAUGACGAUUUUCAG
This 577-nucleotide long non-coding RNA is filed under the name Chinchilla lanigera (long-tailed chinchilla). RNAcentral's name for it is "lncRNA (ENSCLAG00000026265.1)". The record is from RNAcentral. Lineage: Eukaryota; Metazoa; Chordata; Mammalia; Rodentia; Chinchillidae.